Molecule: ribosomal RNA, 855 nt
Filed under: uncultured bacterium
Lineage: Bacteria
Description: bacterial SSU rRNA
Rfam family: Bacterial small subunit ribosomal RNA
Source: RNAcentral
GUCGAGGGGCAGCGAGAGUGAUAGCAAUAUUACUUGUCGGCGACCGGCGCACGGGUGCGUAACGCGUAUGCAACCUACCAUCAACAGGGGGAUAACACUGAGAAAUUGGUACUAAUACCCCAUAAUAUCUCAUGCGGCAUCGCAUGGGGUUGAAAACUCCGGUGGUUGAUGAUGGGCAUGCGUUGUAUUAGCUGGUUGGUGAGGUAACGGCUCACCAAGGCGACGAUACAUAGGGGGACUGAGAGGUUAACCCCCCACAUUGGUACUGAGACACAGACCAAACUCCUACGGGAGGCAGCAGUGAGGAAUAUUGGUCAAUGGACGCAAGUCUGAACCAGCCAUGCCGCGUGCAGGAUGACGGCUCUAUGAGUUGUAAACUGCUUUUGUACGAGGGUAAACCCCGAUACGUGUAUCGGGUUGAAAGUAUCGUACGAAUAAGGAUCGGCUAACUCCGUGCCAGCAGCCGCGGUAAUACGGAGGAUCCGAGCGUUAUCCGGAUUUAUUGGGUUUAAAGGGUGCGUAGGCGGUUUGAUAAGUUAGAGGUGAAAUGUCGGGGCUCAACCCCGAAACUGCCUCUAAUACUGUUGGACUAGAGAAUAGUUGCGGUAGGCGGAAUGUAUGGUGUAGCGGUGAAAUGCUUAGAGAUCAUACAGAACACCGAUUGCGAAGGCAGCUUACCAAACUAUAUCUGACGUUGAGGCACGAAAGCGUGGGUAGCAAACAGGAUUAGAUACCCUGGUAGUCCACGCAGUAAACGAUGAUAACUCGUUGUCGGCGAUACACAGUCGGUGACUAAGCGAAAGCGAUAAGUCAUCCACCUGGGGAGUACGUUCGCAAGAAUGAAACUCAAAGGAU